Ictalurus punctatus (channel catfish) is the source of this 799-nucleotide long non-coding RNA. The record is from Ensembl. Lineage: Eukaryota; Metazoa; Chordata; Actinopteri; Siluriformes; Ictaluridae.
UGACAGUCAUUGAAGAAGUGCUAAAGGCAAUUGGCCUGUGAUAAAGGCAUUGGAGAGGUGGUAAAGGCAUUGGGUCUGUGAUAAAGGCAUUGGAGAGGUGGUAAAGGCAUUGGGUCUGUGAUAAAGGCAUUGGAGAGGUGGUAAAGGCAUUGGGUCUGUGAUAAAGGCAUUGGAGAGGUGGUAAAGGCAUUGUAGAGGUGGUAAAGCCAUUGGGUCUUUGAUAAAGGCAUUGAGAGGUGGUAAAGCCAUUGGAUCUGUGAUAAAGUUAUUGGAGAGGUGGUAAAGCCAUUGGAGAGGUGGUAAAGGCAGUGGAGAGGUGGUAAAGCCAUUGGGUCUGUGAUAAAGGCAUGGAGAGCUGUUAAAGGCAGUGGGUCUGUGAUAAAGGCAGUGGAGAGGUGGUAAAGCCAUUGGGUCUGUGAUAAAGGCAGUGGAGAUGUGGUAAAGCCAUUGGGUCUGUGAUAAAGGCAUGGAGAGCUGUUAAAGGCAGUGGGUCUGUGAUAAAGGCAGUGGAGAGGUGGUAAAGCCAUUGGGCCUGUGAUAAAGGCAUUGGAGAGCUGUUAAAGGCAGUGGGUCUGUGAUAAAGGCAGUGGAGAGGUGGUAAAGCCAUUGGGUCUGUGAUAAAGGCAUGGAGAGGUGGUAAAGGCAUUGGGUCUGUGAUAAAGCCAUUGGGUCUGUGAUGAGUGAUAAGUCUGUGUAGGUGUUUAAACAGGUGUUGAUGUGUUGGUGAGGUUUUUAGGCACUGGGCAGUUGUUGAGACUUGGAUUAAGUGUUGUGCCUUCGGGCAGGUGUUGCAGUUUUU